UGAAGAUUUAUUGUAAAUCCAUGAGUGUUU
RNAcentral lists this non-coding RNA (30 nucleotides) under Mus musculus (house mouse). Lineage: Eukaryota; Metazoa; Chordata; Mammalia; Rodentia; Muridae. The record is from RNAcentral.